CCUACGGGAGGCAGCAGUGAGGAAUAUUGGGCAAUGGGCGAAAGUCUGAAGCAGCCAAGCAGCGUGAAGGAUGAAGGCUCUAGGGGUUGUAAACUUCUUUUAUAAAGGAAUAAAACGAGGCACGUGCGCCUUUUUGCAUGUACUUUAUGAAUAAGGAUCGGCUAACUCCGUGCCAGCAGCCGCGGUAAUACGGAGGAUCCGAGCGUUAUCCGGAUUUAUUGGGUUUAAAGGGAGCGUAGAUGGGGUGUUAAGUCCGUUGUGAAAGGUUGCGGCUCAACCGCAAGAUUGCAAUUGAUACUGGCUGUCUUGAGUACAGUUGAGGUAAGGGGAAUUCGUGGUGUAGCGGUGAAAUGCUUAGAUAUCACGAAGAACCCCGAUUGCGAAGGCAGCUUACUGGACUGUAACUGACGUUGAGGCUCGAAAGUGUGGGUAUCAAACAGGAUUAGAUACCCUUGUAGUC
This 460-nucleotide ribosomal RNA is filed under the name uncultured bacterium. RNAcentral describes it as "partial 16S ribosomal RNA". It matches the Rfam family "Bacterial small subunit ribosomal RNA", at positions 338 to 795 of the family's 1533-position model. The record is from RNAcentral.